AUGGCCGGUGCAAAAGGAGUGCAGCAGCACACCAUCUCGGGUGGUUCCCAGUCGCGGCUAUCACAGGAUGGCUCCCAGUCGCCGCCUCCGGAGGAGCAGCGAGGACGCAGCCGGUCCAGGCACGACCAUCAUCGUGAGGUUGUGGUUAGGGAGAUCGUGCGCGAGACCGCAGUCAGCGGUAGCGUACCCAUCACCUUGCCGAUGCUCAUGCACUCGAACUACAACGAGUGGGCGUUUAUCAUGGAGUGCAACCUCCAUGCGGCGAGCCUCUGGGCUCCCAUGGAGGACGACCUGGUCGAGAGAAAGGAGGACAGGAAAGCCGUGGCGGCGCUUAUGCGCGACUCACCGCCGAAGAUGCACAACAUGCUCGCGGGUGAAGGCAAGUGCCAAGGAGGCGUGGGAAGCCAUCCGUGCCCAGCGCCUCGGCAGCAACCGCGUGCGUGA
RNAcentral lists this ribosomal RNA (444 nucleotides) under Triticum aestivum (bread wheat). Its description in RNAcentral is "partial small subunit ribosomal RNA". Lineage: Eukaryota; Viridiplantae; Streptophyta; Magnoliopsida; Poales; Poaceae. The record is from RNAcentral.